CAGGGGAUAGUGUAGCCAGUUCGCACUCGGGUCUGUGAAGCCCGCAGGGUGGGUGCAAGUCCCACGUCCCUGACCA
This 76-nucleotide transfer RNA is filed under the name Chthoniobacterales bacterium. RNAcentral's name for it is "tRNA-His". It matches the Rfam family "tRNA". Rfam says of the family: Transfer RNA (tRNA) molecules are approximately 80 nucleotides in length. Their secondary structure includes four short double-helical elements and three loops (D, anti-codon, and T loops). Lineage: Bacteria; Pseudomonadati; Verrucomicrobiota; Spartobacteria; Chthoniobacterales. The record is from RNAcentral.